Molecule: long non-coding RNA, 375 nt
Organism: Mauremys mutica (yellowpond turtle)
Lineage: Eukaryota; Metazoa; Chordata; Testudines; Geoemydidae
Exons: 3
Source: RefSeq, a predicted model, not a curated record
CUCAGAGAGCCCUCUACAGGGAUGUCAUGCAGGAGAACUAUGAGAUGGUGGUCUUGCUGGGGUUUCCAGUUUCCAAACCUGAUGUGAUCUCGCAGCUGGAAUGAGGGGAACAGCCGUGGGUCUCAGACCUCUAUGGCUCUAGAAAAAAGUGCUCCCGAGAGCUGUCUGCACAGGCUGAAAGGCUGCUGGAAAUAUAUAAGAACCCUGGGACAUGAUCCUGCUUCAUCUCAGAUCUGCGUUCAGUUUCAAGAGAGGGAACUCUUAAGCCAUAAGGAUUGAGAUCCCGAGUCACUGACUGGAGUCACCCUGAAUAUGGACAUUGGACUGUAACCUCUGGACUAUUUCUAAAAGGACUUUUGGCAACUACAAGCUCAU